This 723-nucleotide ribosomal RNA is filed under the name Sphingobacterium sp. CVD010. RNAcentral describes it as "bacterial SSU rRNA". It matches the Rfam family "Bacterial small subunit ribosomal RNA", at positions 336 to 1061 of the family's 1533-position model. Lineage: Bacteria; Pseudomonadati; Bacteroidota; Sphingobacteriia; Sphingobacteriales; Sphingobacteriaceae. The record is from RNAcentral.
UUCCUACGGGAGGCAGCAGUAAGGAAUAUUGGUCAAUGGGGGGAACCCUGAACCAGCCAUGCCGCGUGCAGGAAGACGGCCCUACGGGUUGUAAACUGCUUUUGCACGGGAAUAACCCCCGGUAUGUAUACCGGGCUGAAUGUACCGUGAGAAUAAGGAUCGGCUAACUCCGUGCCAGCAGCCGCGGUAAUACGGAGGAUCCGAGCGUUAUCCGGAAUUAUUGGGUUUAAAGGGUGCGUAGGCGGCGCGCUAAGUCAGGGGUGAAAGACGGUGGCUCAACCAUCGCAGUGCCUUUGAUACUGGCGCGCUUGAAUGUACCUGAGGUAGGCGGAAUGUGGCAAGUAGCGGUGAAAUGCAUAGAUAUGCCACAGAACACCGAUUGCGAAGGCAGCUUACCAAAGUACGAUUGACGCUGAGGCACGAAAGCGUGGGGAUCGAACAGGAUUAGAUACCCUGGUAGUCCACGCCCUAAACGAUGAACACUCGAUGUCGGCGAUAGACGGUCGGCGUCCAAGCGAAAGCGUUAAGUGUUCCACCUGGGGAGUACGCCCGCAAGGGUGAAACUCAAAGGAAUUGACGGGGGCCCGCACAAGCGGAGGAGCAUGUGGUUUAAUUCGAUGAUACGCGAGGAACCUUACCCGGGCUUGAAAGUUACUGAAUUGUCCAGAGAUGGACAAGUCCUUCGGGACAGGAAACUAGGUGCUGCAUGGUUGUCGUCAGCUC